RNAcentral lists this long non-coding RNA (387 nucleotides) under Brachypodium distachyon (stiff brome). RNAcentral's name for it is "long non-coding RNA (BDIS_LNC001877)". Lineage: Eukaryota; Viridiplantae; Streptophyta; Magnoliopsida; Poales; Poaceae. The record is from RNAcentral.
ACUAGUGCUGCUGAUGCUUCUUCUCUUAAUGCGAGAGCUUACUGCUUUAGCUGCAUACUAGCUAGCAGGUGUUGAAAUUGGACAUCGCACUCUCCAAUUUUACUUUUUUUUUCCACUGUACAAUAGUUGCGAUUCUAUUUCGCUCCCAUGCUCCCAGAAGUGUUUUCUGCGUCUCAAAAAAAAAAAGUGCUUUCUGCGUCUCAAAAAAGAAAAGAAAAAAAAGGCAUAGAGAUAGAGGGGGAGUCCGGCGCAUACAGUACAGUAGAGCGCAUGCCCGCAGUGCCAAGGGGUAUUUCCUAUCAAAAGAAAUAAAAUAGCGAGCCAGAACGCAGCGGAGGAAAGCGGGAAUAUUUUCCUCAUAGGGCAAGAAACGGUCGGGGCGGUGGU